GACGAACGCUGGCGGCGUGCUUAACACAUGCAAGUCGAACGAUGAAGAAGUGAAACGCGAACUUCGGUUCAAAUUUCACUUGGGAGUAGUGGCAGACGGGCGAGUAAUGCGUUAUCAACCUACCUCUUACAAAGGGAUAGCCUCGGGAAACCGAGAUUAAUACCAUAUGACACAUUCAUAAGGUAUCUUAUGAAUGUUAAAGGUACGGCGGUAAGAGAUGGGCUCGUGUCCCAUUAGCUGGUCGGUGAGGUAACGGCCCACCAAGGGGACGGUGGGUAACCGGCCUGUGAGGGGGAACCGUCACAUUGGAGCUAAGACACAGUCCAAACUCCUACGGAAGGCAGCAGUGGGGAAUAUUGCACGAUGGAGGGAGCUCUGAUGCAGCGACGCCUGGUAAGCCAUGAUGUGGGUCGUUAAGUGCAGCUCUGUUCUAUGGGGAGAAAAUGACGGUACCAUAGGAAAAAGCCCCGGCUAAAUACGUG
This 482-nucleotide ribosomal RNA is filed under the name uncultured bacterium. Its description in RNAcentral is "partial 16S ribosomal RNA". It matches the Rfam family "Bacterial small subunit ribosomal RNA", at positions 28 to 507 of the family's 1533-position model. The record is from RNAcentral.